Molecule: ribosomal RNA, 273 nt
Filed under: uncultured bacterium
Lineage: Bacteria
Description: partial 16S ribosomal RNA
Rfam family: Bacterial small subunit ribosomal RNA
Source: RNAcentral
UACGUAGGUGGCAAGCGUUGUCCGGAAUUACUGGGCGUAAAGAGCGCGUAGGCGGGAAUUUAAGUCAGGAGUGAAAACUACCGGCUCAACCGGUAGCCUGCUUUUGAAACUGAAUUUCUUGAGGGUAUGAGAGGAAAGCGGAAUUCCCAGUGUAGCGGUGAAAUGCGUAGAUAUUGGGAGGAACACCAGUGGCGAAGGCGGCUUUCUGGCAUACAACUGACGCUGAGGCGCGAAAGCGUGGGGAGCAAACGGGAUUAGAAACCCCUGUAGUCC